UGCACGCCCGAGUGCCCUCACACACAUCCAUCUCACCCCUAUGUGCACCACCGCGUGGGUCCCCCUUUGGCUCGUUCGGAGGGGGGCUUACGUUUUCACACAAACUUUGUAUGCAGUGUAGAAUGUAUUUUUUGUUUUUGCGAUCACGCAAUCAAUACAACUUUCAACAACGGAUCUCUUGGCUCUCGCAUCGAUGAAGAACGCAGCGAAAUGCGAUACGUAAUGUGAAUUGCAGAAUUCAGUGAAUCAUCGAAUCUUUGAACGCACCUUGCGCCCCUUGGCAUUCCGAGGGGCACACCCGUUUGAGUGUCGUGAAAUUCUCAAAAACCUUUUUCUUUUGGGAAAGGGUUUUUGGACUUGGAGGCUUUUUGCUGGCUUCACCUUGAAGUGAGCUCCUCCUAAAUGAAUCAGUGGGGUCCCCUUUGCCGAUCCUUGACGUGAUAAGAUGUUUCUGCGUCUUUGGGUUUGGCACUGUCACCUGCUUCUAACUGUCUCAUUGACAAUGAUGGUGUUCCGGUCACCACCGCUCUUAUCGGUGGGAGGCUUGACCCACAAAAACAAAACC
Molecule: ribosomal RNA, 565 nt
Filed under: uncultured Russula
Lineage: Eukaryota; Fungi; Basidiomycota; Agaricomycetes; Russulales; Russulaceae
Description: eukaryotic LSU rRNA
Rfam family: 5.8S ribosomal RNA (bases 159-312)
Source: RNAcentral